GUUCUUCAUUUGGCAGCACACAUACUAAAAUUGGAAUGCUAUAGAGAAGAUUAACAUGGCUGCUGUGAGAGCCUAACAGGCAAAUUUGUGAAGUAUUCCAUAUUUUU
This is a small nuclear RNA of Meriones unguiculatus (Mongolian gerbil), 107 nucleotides long. Lineage: Eukaryota; Metazoa; Chordata; Mammalia; Rodentia; Muridae. The record is from Ensembl.